UACAACAUAGUGUUAAUGCACUAGAUUGCAUUAGAAUUCUGCAGUUAAGUGCGCUCAGGCUAGAGUAGUACUGGGAUGGAUGACCGCCCAGGAAGUCCUAGUGUUUUAC
Picea glauca (white spruce) is the source of this 109-nucleotide non-coding RNA. NCBI's taxonomy places the organism in Eukaryota, Viridiplantae, Streptophyta, Pinopsida, Pinales, Pinaceae. The record is from Rfam.